GGACACUCUGAUCCAAUGGUCACGAACACAUCUCCCUCUGAGUACGGGGGCAUCCAUUUCAGGGCUUUUGGGGGUCCUUGGCAUGGAUAAGCCUCAUGGUUUUUUUCUCUUCUUAGUUCUGCUUUCAAGCCGUAAGAAAGAUGGAAGAACUUAGUUCCCUGUAGCCCACACAGCAGAAAAGAGGGAGGGAAGGGUGCCCAAGCAGGAACUGCAGGGCUGAGCAGUCACAUGACAGGCAAACUGGCUUUCUGGCAAGAAAGCUCUGCCCUGGGAUGCAGAGGCGGCUUUGUGUGCAGAUCGGGGGCACCAGGAGGGCUCCUCGCGGGCAGUCCUGGGGCAUCAGAGGGCACUUGGGGGCUGCUAGGGAGGAAAUGUCAACAUUUGGGACCUGGAUGGUGUGUGUGUGUGUGUGUGUGUGUGUGUGUGUGUGUGAGAGAGAGAGAGAGAGAGAGAGCAAGAGAAAUACCCAUGAGAUCUCCAGGGGUUUGUGAUGGGGUUUUUCAGGGGCAAGUGAGGACUCUUCGGAGAAGCAUUUGUCCUCAGUGAGCCAAGCCCGGGAGGGGACAGGCUGCCGUGAUCCCUGGGACUCCCCUGCUGCCCAACCUGGCCUGCAGCCUCAGUCAAGCACAGCACCUGCCAAGAGCCUAGUCGCCUGUGACUGUCAGACCUGGGAGUGGGGGCUGACGUGGCUCCAGAGGAGAUUCAGGCAGCUGGCUGAAACCUGCUCCUGUGACGCUGCCCUUGCUCCUCCUCCCCUCACAGCCUCCCCUUCCCUGCUGCAGUCUUCUAGCCCCCCAACCGGGCCCAGACGGGGGUGAGGGGGUGGGCUGUCUGGGUAGUCACGUGAUGGGCAGAGGCCAACCGCUGAUGCCAGUGGAGGGGUGGGCGUUCCCCGCCAGCCCCUGGCUUUGGAGGAGGAGGAAUGAAGAAAGCUCGCCUCCCUCGCAGACCAGUUUCUCCUGUUCCCUCCUCCAAACGGCCAGGAUUUCCCAUCCUGUCCCUCCAGUAUUGACCUUCCCGUCUCCUGGGAGGGCUUGGUGCCUCCAGCUGCCCGUCAGCGUUGGUCAUAGCUUUUCUUCCAAGGACCAAGCAUCUUUUAAUUUCAUAUGCUCCACCAAAAAAAAGACGCUAUCGCAACAAGAAGCCCAUGCACUGCAACUAGAGAGUAGCCCCUGCUCGUCACAACUACAGAAAGCCUGUGAGCAGCAAUGGAGAGCCCCUGCCCUGCAACAAAGACCCAGCACAGCCAAAAUUAAAAAUAAAUGAAUAAGAAUGCCAGUUCCAUGAAGGCAGGCAUUUUUGUCUGUUUUGCUUACUGCUGUAUCUCCAGCAUCUACACCAGUGCUUGGCAUACAG
This 1356-nucleotide long non-coding RNA is filed under the name Capra hircus (goat). Its description in RNAcentral is "lncRNA (ENSCHIG00000007757.1)". Lineage: Eukaryota; Metazoa; Chordata; Mammalia; Artiodactyla; Bovidae. The record is from RNAcentral.